CCGGCUUCCCCCUCCCCCUCGGGCUCUUUCGUUUGAAUCGAUGCCAGGAGAAACUGCCUCUACCUGCAAGAAAGGCGGCCGAUGACACUUGGGGAUGGGAGACCUUCGCUGGCACCGGAUCACUGGAGGUAAACAUCGAAUUAAUUGGAUCUGAAUGA
RNAcentral lists this long non-coding RNA (158 nucleotides) under Struthio camelus australis. RNAcentral's name for it is "lncRNA (ENSSCUG00000010143.1)". The record is from RNAcentral. Lineage: Eukaryota; Metazoa; Chordata; Aves; Struthioniformes; Struthionidae.